GACCCAGUGGCCUAAUGGACAAGGCAUCAGCCUUCGGAGCUGAGGACUGCGGGUUCAAGUCCCACCUGGGUCA
This is a transfer RNA of Scleropages formosus (Asian bonytongue), 73 nucleotides long. It matches the Rfam family "tRNA". Rfam says of the family: Transfer RNA (tRNA) molecules are approximately 80 nucleotides in length. Their secondary structure includes four short double-helical elements and three loops (D, anti-codon, and T loops). NCBI's taxonomy places the organism in Eukaryota, Metazoa, Chordata, Actinopteri, Osteoglossiformes, Osteoglossidae. The record is from Rfam.